This 725-nucleotide ribosomal RNA is filed under the name uncultured Laccaria. RNAcentral's name for it is "eukaryotic LSU rRNA". The stretch from base 303 to 456 matches the Rfam family "5.8S ribosomal RNA". The record is from RNAcentral. Lineage: Eukaryota; Fungi; Basidiomycota; Agaricomycetes; Agaricales; Tricholomataceae.
UCAUUUAGAGGAAGUAAAAGUCGUAACAAGGUUUCCGUAGGUGAACUGCGGAAGGAUCAUUAUUGAAUAAACCUGAUGUGACUGUUAGCUGGCUUUUCGGAGCAUGUGCUCGUCCGUCAUCUUUAAUCUCUCCACCUGUGCACAUUUUGUAGUCUUGGAUACCUCUCGAGGCAACUCGGAUUUUAGGAUCGCCGUGCUGUAAAAGUCAGCUUUCCUCUCAUUUCCAAGACUAUGUUUUUAUAUACACCAAAGUAUGUUUAAAGAAUGUCAUCAAUAGGAACUUGUUUCCUAUAAAAUUAUACAACUUUCAGCAACGGAUCUCUUGGCUCUCGCAUCGAUGAAGAACGCAGCGAAAUGCGAUAAGUAAUGUGAAUUGCAGAAUUCAGUGAAUCAUCGAAUCUUUGAACGCACCUUGCGCUCCUUGGUAUUCCGAGGAGCAUGCCUGUUUGAGUGUCAUUAAAUUCUCAACCUUCCAGCUUUUAUUAGCUUGGUUAGGCUUGGAUGUGGGGGUUGUGGGCUUCAUUAAUGAGGUCAGCUCUCCUUAAAUGCAUUAGCGGAACUUUUGUGGACCGUCUAUUGGUGUGAUAAUUAUCUACGCCGUGGAUGUGAAGCAGCUUUAUGAAGUUCAGCUUCUAAUCGUCCAUUGACUUGGACAACUUUUGACAAUUUGACCUCAAAUCAGGUAGGACUACCCGCUGAACUUAAGCAUAUCAAUAAGCGGAGGA